GUACGCUGGCGGCACGCCUAACACAUGCAAGUCGAACGAAGUAGCAAUACUUAGUGGCAGACGGGUGAGUAACAUGUAGGUAUCUGCCCUUUGGCCUGGAAUAACACGAGGAAACUUGUGCUAAUACCGGAUAAGUCUUUACGGAGAAAGCUUUAUGCACCAUUGGAUGAGCCUGCACUUGAUUAGUUUGUUGGUGGGGUAAUGGCCUACCAAGACUGUGAUCAAUAGCUGAUUUGAGAGGAUGAUCAGCCACAUUGGGACUGAGACACGGCCCAAACUCCUACGGGAGGCAGCAGUGGGGAAUCUUGCACAAUGGAGGAAACUCUGAUGCAGCGAUGCCGCGUGAGUGAAGAAGGCCCUUGGGUUGUAAAGCUCUUUCGUCGGGGAAGAAAAUGACUGUACCCGAAUAAGAAGGUCCGGCUAACUUCGUGCCAGCAGCCGCGGUAAUACGAAGGGACCUAGCGUAGUUCGGAAUUACUGGGCUUAAAGAGUUCGUAGGUGGUUGAAAAAGUUAGUGGUGAAAUCCCAGAGCUUAACUCUGGAACUGCCAUUAAAACUUUUCAGCUAGAGUAUGAUAGAGGAAAGCAGAAUUUCUAGUGUAGAGGUGAAAUUCGUAGAUAUUAGAAAGAAUACCAAUUGCGAAGGCAGCUUUCUGGAUCAUUACUGACACUGAGGAACGAAAGCAUGGGUAGCGAAGAGGAUUAGAUACCCUCGUAGUCCAUGCCGUAAACGAUGUGUG
RNAcentral lists this ribosomal RNA (739 nucleotides) under uncultured bacterium. Its description in RNAcentral is "bacterial SSU rRNA". It matches the Rfam family "Bacterial small subunit ribosomal RNA", at positions 31 to 815 of the family's 1533-position model. The record is from RNAcentral.